AGUCAAGCAACUAAGCGCAUACGGUGGAUGCCUUGGCAGUCAGAGGCGAUGAAAGACGUGGAAGCCUGCGAUAAGGUUCGGGGAGCUGGCAAACGAGCUGUGAUCCGGACAUUUCUGAAUGGGGAAACCCACCCGAUUUCGAUCGGGUAUCUUGCACUGAAUACAUAGGUGUAAGAGGCGAACCGGGGGAACUGAAACAUCUAAGUACCCCGAGGAAAAGAAAUCAACCGAGAUUCCCUAAGUAGCGGCGAGCGAACGGGGACUAGCCCUUAAGCUAGACAACUGAUAGGAGAAGGCUCUGGAAAGUGCCGCCAUAGUGGGUGAUAGCCCCGUAUCCGAAAUCUGAGUCUAGUGAAAUCGAGUAGGUCGGCGCACGAGAAACGUUGACUGAAUAUGGGGGGACCAUCCUCCAAGGCUAAAUACUCCUGACUGACCGAUAGUGAACCAGUACCGUGAGGGAAAGGCGAAAAGAACCCCUGUGAGGGGAGUGAAAUAGAUCCUGAAACCGUAUGCGUACAAGCAGUCGGAGCAGACUUGUUCUGUGACGGCGUACCUUUUGUAUAAUGGGUCAGCGACUUAUGUUUAGUGGCGAGGUUAACCGUUUAGGGGAGCCGUAGGGAAACCGAGUCUGAAUAGGGCGAAUCAGUCGCUAGGCAUAGACCCGAAACCGGGCGAUCUAUCCAUGAGCAGGUUGAAGGUUGAGUAACAUCAACUGGAGGACCGAACCCACUGUCGUUGAAAAGCCAGGGGAUGACUUGUGGAUCGGAGUGAAAGGCUAAUCAAGCCCGGAGAUAGCUGGUUCUCCCCGAAAGCUAUUUAGGUAGCGCCUCGGACGAAUACCACAGGGGGUAGAGCACUGUUUGGGCUAGGGGGUCAUCUCGACUUACCAACCCCAGGCAAACUCCGAAUACCUGUGAGUACUAUCCGGGAGACACACGAUGGGUGCUAACGUCCGUCGUGAAGAGGGAAACAACCCAGACCGCCAGCUAAGGUCCCAAAAUACCAGUUAAGUGGGAAACGAUGUGGGAAGGCUCAGACAGCUAGGAGGUUGGCUUAGAAGCAGCCAUCCUUUAAAGAAAGCGUAAUAGCUCACUAGUCGAGUCGGCCUGCGCGGAAGAUGUAACGGGGCUCAAACUGGUUACCGAAGCUGCGGCUGCAUACUCNNNNNNNNNNNNNNNNNNNNNNNNNNNNNNNNNNNNNNNNNNNNNNNNNNNNNNNNNNNNNNNNNNNNNNNNNNNNNNNNNNNNNNNNNNNNNNUACGUUGUAUGCGGGGUAGGGGAGCGUUCUGUAAGCCUGCGAAGGUGAGUUGAGAAGCUUGCUGGAGGUAUCAGAAGUGCGAAUGCUGACAUGAGUAACGACAAUGGGAGUGAAAAACUCCCACGCCGGAAGACCAAGGGUUCCUGCGCAACGCUAAUCGGCGCAGGGUGAGUCGGCCCCUAAGGCGAGACCGAAAGGUGUAGUCGAUGGGAAACGGGUUAAUAUUCCCGUACCUUGGAUAGCUGCGAUGGAGAGACGGAGAAGGCUAGGUGAGCCGGGCGACGGUUGCCCCGGUUUAAGCAUGUAGGGAGUGGACUUAGGCAAAUCCGGGUCCACAAUCCCGAGACGCGACGACGAGUGCCCAAGGGCGCGAAGUCAUUGAUGCCCUGCUUCCAGGAAAAUCUUCUAAGCUUCAGGCUAUUCGGGACCGUACCCCAAACCGACACAGGUGGUCAGGUAGAGAAUACCAAGGCGCUUGAGAGAACUCGGGUAAAGGAACUAGGCAAAAUGGUGCCGUAACUUCGGGAGAAGGCACGCCGGUGUGUACGUGAUACCCCUGCGGGUGGAGCGGAAGCCGGUCGAAGAUACCAGGCCCCUGCGACUGUUUAUUAAAAACACAGCACUGUGCAAACACGAAAGUGGACGUAUACGGUGUGACGCCUGCCCGGUGCCGGAAGGUUAAUUGAUGGGGUUAGCAUUCGUGCGAAGCUCUUGAUCGAAGCCCCGGUAAACGGCGGCCGUAACUAUAACGGUCCUAAGGUAGCGAAAUUCCUUGUCGGGUAAGUUCCGACCUGCACGAAUGGCGUAACGAUGGGGGCGCUGUCUCUACCCGAGACUCAGUGAAAUUGAAAUCGCCGUGAAGAUGCGGUGUAUCCGCGGCUAGACGGAAAGACCCCGUGAACCUUUACUAUAGCUUCACAGUGAACUUUGAAUAUGCUUGUGUAGGAUAGCUGGGAGGCUUUGAAACCAGGACGCCAGUUCUGGUGGAGCCAACCUUGAAAUACCAGCCUGGCAUGUUUGAGGUUCUAACUCUGGCCCCUUAUCGGGGUUGAGGACACUGUGUGGUGGGUAGUUUGACUGGGGCGGUCUCCUCCCAAAGCGUAACGGAGGAGCACAAAGGUGGGCUAAGUACGGUCGGACAUCGUACGGUUAGUGUAAUGGCACAAGCCCGCUUGACUGCGAGACAGACACGUCGAGCAGGUACGAAAGUAGGUCAUAGUGAUCCGGUGGUUCUGUAUGGAAGGGCCAUCGCUCAACGGAUAAAAGGUACUCCGGGGAUAACAGGCUGAUACCGCCCAAGAGUUCACAUCGACGGCGGUGUUUGGCACCUCGAUGUCGGCUCAUCACAUCCUGGGGCUGAAGCCGGUCCCAAGGGUAUGGCUGUUCGCCAUUUAAAGUGGUACGCGAGCUGGGUUUAGAACGUCGUGAGACAGUUCGGUCCCUAUCUGCCGUGGACGUUGGAGAUUUGAGGAAAGCUGCUCCUAGUACGAGAGGACCGGAGUGGACGAACCGCUGGUGUUCCAGUUGUUUCGCCAGAAGCACUGCUGGGUAGCUAUGUUCGGAUAGGAUAACCGCUGAAAGCAUCUAAGCGGGAAGCCCCUUCCAAGAUGAGAUCUCCCUGAGGCCUUGAGCCUCCUGAAGAGCCGUUCAAGACCAGGACGUUGAUAGGCUGGGUGUGUAAGCGCUGCGAGGCGUUGAGCUAACCAGUACUAAUUGCUCGUGCGGCUUGACUAU
This 2991-nucleotide ribosomal RNA is filed under the name Marinobacter sp. MDS2. RNAcentral describes it as "23S ribosomal RNA". It matches the Rfam family "Bacterial large subunit ribosomal RNA". Lineage: Bacteria; Pseudomonadati; Pseudomonadota; Gammaproteobacteria; Pseudomonadales; Marinobacteraceae. The record is from RNAcentral.